RNAcentral lists this ribosomal RNA (244 nucleotides) under Photobacterium angustum. Its description in RNAcentral is "partial 16S ribosomal RNA". It matches the Rfam family "Bacterial small subunit ribosomal RNA", at positions 1 to 238 of the family's 1533-position model. Lineage: Bacteria; Pseudomonadati; Pseudomonadota; Gammaproteobacteria; Vibrionales; Vibrionaceae. The record is from RNAcentral.
UUAAUUGAAGAGUUUGAUCAUGGCUCAGAUUGAACGCUGGCGGCAGGCCUAACACAUGCAAGUCGAGCGGUAACAGAUUGAUAGCUUGCUAUCAAUGCUGACGAGCGGCGGACGGGUGAGUAAUGCCUGGGAAUAUGCCCUGAUGUGGGGGAUAACUAUUGGAAACGAUAGCUAAUACCGCAUAAUCUCUUCGGAGCAAAGAGGGGGACCUUCGGGCCUCUCGCGUCAGGAUUAGCCCAGGUGG